AGAGUUUGAUCAUGGCUCAGGAUGAACGCUAGCUACAGGCUUAACACAUGCAAGUCGAGGGGAAACGGCAUUGAGUGCUUGCACUCUUUGGACGUCGACCGGCGCACGGGUGAGUAACGCGUAUCCAACCUUCCCAUUACUGUGGGAUAACCUGCCGAAAGGCAGACUAAUACCGCAUAGUCUUCGAUGACGGCAUCAGAUUUGAAGUAAAGAUUUAUCGGUAAUGGAUGGGGAUGCGUCUGAUUAGCUUGUUGGCGGGGUAACGGCCCACCAAGGCAACGAUCAGUAGGGGUUCUGAGAGGAAGGUCCCCCACAUUGGAACUGAGACACGGUCCAAACUCCUACGGGAGGCAGCAGUGAGGAAUAUUGGUCAAUGGACGUAAGUCUGAACCAGCCAAGUAGCGUGCAGGAUGACGGCCCUAUGGGUUGUAAACUGCUUUUGUAUGGGGAUAAAGUCAGUCACGUGUGAUUGUUUGCAGGUACCAUACGAAUAAGGACCGGCUAAUUCCGUGCCAGCAGCCGCGGUAAUAC
Molecule: ribosomal RNA, 531 nt
Filed under: uncultured bacterium
Lineage: Bacteria
Description: bacterial SSU rRNA
Rfam family: Bacterial small subunit ribosomal RNA
Source: RNAcentral